UGUGGUGAAUCCCCCUAAGCGGUGGGGCGACUAGACUGGGAGGUGAAUGACGCGAUUCUGUGGUCUAGCAUAGAGUCACCGGGAGGCACCCGGCACUACAGUUCCAUUACCACAGUUUUUAAGGCUGCCGUUUGGCGGCCUUUUUG
This 146-nucleotide small RNA is filed under the name Leclercia adecarboxylata. RNAcentral describes it as "Gammaproteobacterial sRNA STnc100". It matches the Rfam family "Gammaproteobacterial sRNA STnc100", at positions 31 to 201 of the family's 206-position model. The record is from RNAcentral. Lineage: Bacteria; Pseudomonadati; Pseudomonadota; Gammaproteobacteria; Enterobacterales; Enterobacteriaceae.